Molecule: long non-coding RNA, 153 nt
Organism: Thalassophryne amazonica
Lineage: Eukaryota; Metazoa; Chordata; Actinopteri; Batrachoidiformes; Batrachoididae
Exons: 3
Source: RefSeq, a predicted model, not a curated record
CACAUCGGCAGGAUUUGGACCAAAGGACUAGGUCUGGGUGCAGGUUGGUCACUGCAAUUUCGGGAAUGUGAGCCUCUGAUUUAGGUCUACCCGCAUUUCCCAAUCCCAGGCUGCAUUCAGUGGACAUACGUCUAAGUGUGGAGGUGUUGACUA